GAUGAACGCUGGCGGCGUGCCUAAUACAUGCAAGUCGAGCGAACAGACGAGGAGCUUGCUCCUCUGACGUUAGCGGCGGACGGGUGAGUAACACGUGGAUAACCUACCUAUAAGACUGGGAUAACUUCGGGAAACCGGAGCUAAUACCGGAUAAUAUAUUGAACCGCAUGGUUCAAUAGUGAAAGACGGUUUUGCUGUCACUUAUAGAUGGAUCCGCGCCGCAUUAGCUAGUUGGUAAGGUAACGGCUUACCAAGGCAACGAUGCGUAGCCGACCUGAGAGGGUGAUCGGCCACACUGGAACUGAGACACGGUCCAGACUCCUAAGGGAGGCAGCAGUAGGGAAUCUUCCGCAAUGGGCGAAAGCCUGACGGAGCAAAGCCGCGUGAGGGAUGAAGGUCUUCGGAUCGUAAAACUCUGUUAUUAGGGAAGAACAAAUGUGUAAGUAACUAUGCACGUCUUGACGGUACCUAAUCAGAAAGCCACGGCUAACUACGUG
This 497-nucleotide ribosomal RNA is filed under the name uncultured bacterium. RNAcentral describes it as "partial 16S ribosomal RNA". It matches the Rfam family "Bacterial small subunit ribosomal RNA", at positions 28 to 507 of the family's 1533-position model. The record is from RNAcentral.